This 253-nucleotide ribosomal RNA is filed under the name uncultured bacterium. RNAcentral's name for it is "partial 16S ribosomal RNA". It matches the Rfam family "Bacterial small subunit ribosomal RNA", at positions 524 to 776 of the family's 1533-position model. The record is from RNAcentral.
UACAAAGGGGGCAAGCGUUGUUCGGAAUUACUGGGCGUAAAGGGCGCGUAGGCGGCCUGCUAAGUCGAACGUGAAAUCCCCGAGCUCAACUCGGGAACUGCGUCCGAUACUGGCAGGCUUGAAUCCGGGAGAGGGAUGCGGAAUUCCAGGUGUAGCGGUGAAAUUCGUAGAUAUUGGGAAGAACACCGGUGGCGAAGGCGGCUAUCUGGCCCGUAAUUGACGCUGAGGCGCGAAAGCGUGGGGAGCAAACAGG